GAUCAUGGCUCAGGAUGAACGCUGGCGGCGUGCUUAACACAUGCAAGUCGAGUGAAGCGCUUAAGUCUGAUUCUUCGGAUGAAGACUUUUGUGACUGAGCGGCGGACGGGUGAGUAACGCGUGGGUAACCUGCCUCAUACAGGGGGAUAACAGUUAGAAAUGACUGCUAAUACCGCAUAAGACCACGGUACCGCAUGGUACAGUGGUAAAAACUCCGGUGGUAUGAGAUGGACCCGCG
This 238-nucleotide ribosomal RNA is filed under the name uncultured bacterium. Its description in RNAcentral is "partial 16S ribosomal RNA". It matches the Rfam family "Bacterial small subunit ribosomal RNA", at positions 15 to 235 of the family's 1533-position model. The record is from RNAcentral.